RNAcentral lists this ribosomal RNA (415 nucleotides) under uncultured bacterium. RNAcentral describes it as "bacterial SSU rRNA". It matches the Rfam family "Bacterial small subunit ribosomal RNA", at positions 355 to 776 of the family's 1533-position model. The record is from RNAcentral.
UAGGGAAUUUUCGGCAAUGGGGGGAACCCUGACCGAGCAACGCCGCGUGAACGAAGAAGUUAUUCGUAAUGUAAAGUUCUUUUAUUGGGGAAGAAAAGGCAAAAGAGAUUGACGGUACCCAAUGAAUAAGCUCCGGCUAACUACGUGCCAGCAGCCGCGGUAAUACGUAGGGAGCGAGCGUUAUCCGGAAUUAUUGGGCGUAAAGGGUGCGUAGAUGGCAUACCAAGUUUUUUGUAAAAAUGCUAAGCUCAACUUAGUAGGGCAAAGGAAACUGGUAAGCUAGAGUACAACAGAGGCAAGUGGAAUUCCAUGUGUAGCGGUAAAAUGCGUAAAUAUAUGGAGGAACACCGGUGGCGAAGGCGGCUUGCUGGGUUGAUACUGACAUUGAGGCACGAAAGCGUGGGGAGCAAACAGG